GACCAAGCUUCCAGGAAAAGCCACUAAGCUUCAGUCUAGAGUUGACCGUACCGCAAACCGACACAGGUGGGCAGGAUGAAAAUUCUAAGGCGCUUGAGAGAACUCAGGAGAAGGAACUCGGCAAAUUAACACAGUAACUUCGGGAGAAGGUGUGCCCCGGUAGCGUGUAGAGACUUGCUCUCGAAGCGCGAUGGGGUUGCAGUGAAAUGGUGGCUGCGACUGUUUAAUAAAAACACAGCACUCUGCAAACACGAAAGUGGACGUAUAGGGUGUGACGCCUGCCCGGUGCCGGAAGGUUAAGUGAUGGGGUGCAAGCUCUUGAUCGAAGCCCCGGUAAACGGCGGCCGUAACAAUAACGGUCCUAAGGUAGCGAAAUUCCUUGUCGGGUAAGUUCCGACCUGCACGAAUGGCGUAACGAUGGCCACACUGUCUCCUCCUGGGACUCAGCGAAGUUGAAAUGUUUGUGAAGAUGCAAUCUACCCGCGGCUAGACGGAAAGACCCCAUGAACCUUUACUGUAGCUUGCAUUGGACUUUGAGCCGGUUUGUGUAGGAUAGGUGGGAGACUGUGAAGCCGGGACGCUAGUUUCGGUGGAGUCAACCUUGAAAUACCACCCUGAUUUGUUUGAGGUUCUAACCUUGGUCCGUGAAUCCGGAUCGGGGACCGUGCAUGGUAGGCAGUUUGACUGGGGCGGUCUCCUCCCAAAAGGUAACGGAGGAGUACGAAGGUACGCUUAGGGCGGUCGGACAUCGCCCACAAAGUGCAAUGGCAAAAGCGUGCUUGACUGCGAGACCCACAAGUCGAGCAGGUACGAAAGUAGGUCAUAGUGAUCCGGUGGUUCUGUAUGGAAGGGCCAUCGUUCAACGGAUAAAAGGUACUCUGGGGAUAACAGGCUAAUUCCUCCCAAGAGUUCAUAUCGACGGGGGAGUUUGGCACCUCGAUGUCGGCUCAUCACAUCCUGGGGCUGUAGUCGGUCCCAAGGGUAUGGCUGUUCGCCAUUUAAAGUGGUACGCGAGCUGGGUUUAAAACGUCGUGAGACAGUUUGGUCCCUAUCUGCCGUGGGCGCUGGAAAUUUGAAGGGGGCUGCUCCUAGUACGAGAGGACCGGAGUGGACGAACCUCUGGUGUACCGGUUAUGACGCCAGUCGUAUCGCCGGGUAGCUAAGUUCGGAAGAGAUAAACGCUGAAAGCAUCUAAGCGUGAAACUCGCCUUAAGAUAAGAUUUCCCGGAGUCUUGAACUCCCUGAAGGGUCGUCGAAGACCACGACGUUGAUAGGUCAGGUGUGGAAGCGCAGCAAUGCGUUAAGCUAACUGAUACUAAUUGCCCGUGCGGCUUGAUCU
This 1339-nucleotide ribosomal RNA is filed under the name metagenome. Its description in RNAcentral is "bacterial LSU rRNA". It matches the Rfam family "Bacterial large subunit ribosomal RNA", at positions 1598 to 2925 of the family's 2925-position model. The record is from RNAcentral.